RNAcentral lists this ribosomal RNA (1280 nucleotides) under Glyptotermes angustus. RNAcentral describes it as "16S ribosomal RNA". The stretch from base 1051 to 1218 matches the Rfam family "Archaeal large subunit ribosomal RNA", at positions 2542 to 2701 of the family's 2987-position model. Lineage: Eukaryota; Metazoa; Arthropoda; Insecta; Blattodea; Kalotermitidae. The record is from RNAcentral.
UAUUUUUUUUUUUAUUUUUGAUUUAUUUUAGGCAAAGUAUUGUUUUGUUAUUGUAUUGUUAUUGAUUUAAUUGUUUUUAUUAUAGUAGAUUUGUACUGUGAGGGUAUGAAGUUGGGUUUAAUAAUUUUGUUUAUGUAAGUUGAUUUUGUUGGUCGUACCUUGUGUAUCAGGAUUUAUUAAUUUUUAUUAUUUAUUUUUGUUUCCCGAUUUCGGAGGGGUUAAUUAUUUAUUUUGUUUACUGUUGCAUUAGUAUCAAUAAUAUUUUGUUGGUGAUGAAAUGUCAUUCGUUUCUGGUGGUAUCUGGUUUCUGUAGAAAUAAAUUUAAUUUACACAUUUUGUUUAAUUUUUCUAAUUUUGUAGUUUUAUUUAACAUGUAGUGAAUAUUUCGGGGGAUAAGCUUUGAUUUUUAUUUUUAUAAUUUUGUUUUUAAGGAAUUUUGUGGGCUUUAUGUUGGCUAUCAAUUUGAGUAUAUUAAAAUUUUAUUUUGAUUUAUUUCAAUUUUUUAUUUUAUUUAAUUUUUUAUUGGGACGUUUGGUUUAUUAAUUUUUCUGUUGUGAUUUUGAUAGAAUUAGUAUAUUUUUCUUUAUUUAAUUUUGUUGAGUGAGUGGAAAUUUUUUGAGAGGAAUUAGGCAAAUUUUAGUACUCGCCUGUUUAACAAAAACAUCUCUUCUUGUGUAUAAUUUGAAGUACGGUCUGCCCACUGAUUAUUUGAAGGGCCGCGGUAUCUUGACCGUGCAAAGGUAGCAUAAUCAUUAGUUUUUUAAUUGUGAACUGGUAUGAAUGGCUUGACGAGGUAUUUACUGUCUUUGAUUAAUAUUUUAAUUGAAUUUAAUUUUUAGGUAAGAAUGCCUAAAUUUUUUUAUGGGACGAGAAGACCCUAUAGAGUUUUAUGUGGAUCAUAUUAUUUUUUUUUGUUUGAUUUUAUUUACUUUAAUUUUUCUAUAUUUUGUUGGGGUGAUGGGAAGGUAUAGAAAACCCUUCUUUGUUGUUUACAUUUAUUUAUGUUUUUGUGAUUCUUUAUUAUUGGUUGUAAGAUUAAAUUACCUUAGGGAUAACAGCGUAAUCUUUUUUGAGAGUUCUUAUCGACAAAAGGGUUUGCGACCUCGAUGUUGGAUUAAGGUGAAUUUUUGGCGUAGAGGUUUUAUUAAUUUUGUUAUUGGGUCUGUUCGACCUUUGAAACCUUACAUGAUCUGAGUUCAAACCGGCGUGAGCCAGGUUGGUUUCUAUCUAUAAUUUAUAAAAUUUCUUAGUACGAGAGGACCUGAAAUUUUAAAUAAUUU